RNAcentral lists this ribosomal RNA (429 nucleotides) under bacterium. RNAcentral describes it as "partial 16S ribosomal RNA". It matches the Rfam family "Bacterial small subunit ribosomal RNA", at positions 355 to 776 of the family's 1533-position model. The record is from RNAcentral.
UAGGGAAUCUUCGGCAAUGGGGGCAACCCUGACCGAGCAACGCCGCGUGAGUGAAGAAGGUUUUCGGAUCGUAAAGCUCUGUUGUAAGAGAAGAACGUGUGUGAGAGUGGAAAGUUCACACAGUGACGGUAACUUACCAGAAAGGGACGGCUAACUACGUGCCAGCAGCCGCGGUAAUACGUAGGUCCCGAGCGUUGUCCGGAUUUAUUGGGCGUAAAGCGAGCGCAGGCGGUUUAAUAAGUCUGAAGUUAAAGGCAGUGGCUUAACCAUUGUUCGCUUUGGAAACUGUUAAACUUGAGUGCAGAAGGGGAGAGUGGAAUUCCAUGUGUAGCGGUGAAAUGCGUAGAUAUAUGGAGGAACACCGGUGGCGAAAGCGGCUCUCUGGUCUGUAACUGACGCUGAGGCUCGAAAGCAUGGGUAGCGAACAGG